This 239-nucleotide ribozyme is filed under the name Pelagomonas calceolata. RNAcentral describes it as "partial Nuclear RNase P". It matches the Rfam family "Nuclear RNase P", at positions 23 to 260 of the family's 301-position model. Rfam says of the family: Ribonuclease P (RNase P) is a ubiquitous endoribonuclease, found in archaea, bacteria and eukarya as well as chloroplasts and mitochondria. Its best characterised activity is the generation of mature 5'-ends of tRNAs by cleaving the 5'-leader elements of precursor-tRNAs. Lineage: Eukaryota; Pelagophyceae; Pelagomonadales; Pelagomonadaceae. The record is from RNAcentral.
CGCCUACAAACAGAGGCCCUCUAGGGGGCGCUCACUAAAUUAGCGGGUGGGAAAUUCGGUGGUUCUCCCCAUCCUAGGGGACUUUGUCCCUAAAAUAAUACUCUUGAGAGUGUCCAUGGCGUGAAAACGCCGGGCAAUGCCAUCAGAAAUCAGCAGAAUUUAUUCUGCAUGGGAGGCAUUGCGGAUGGUUGGUCUUUUAUAAUGAGAAAAGGCUAUUGAGUGCAAUAUGCGAACUUAAU